Molecule: ribosomal RNA, 497 nt
Filed under: uncultured bacterium
Lineage: Bacteria
Description: partial 16S ribosomal RNA
Rfam family: Bacterial small subunit ribosomal RNA
Source: RNAcentral
GACGAACGCUGGCGGCGUGCCUAAUACAUGCAAGUUGAGCGAUGAAGCUUGGUGCUUGCUCCAAUUUGAAGAGCAGCGAACGGGUGAGUAACGCGUGGGGAAUCUGCCUUUGAGCGGGGGACAACAUUUGGAAACGAAUGCUAAUACCGCAUAACAACUUUAAACAUAAGUUUUAAGUUUGAAAGAUGCAAUUGCAUCACUCAAAGAUGAUCUCGCCUUGUAUUAGCUAGUUGGUGAGGUAAAGGCUCACCAAGGCGAUGAUACAUAGCCGACCUGAGAGGGUGAUCGGCCACAUUGGGACUGAGACAAGGCCCAAACUCCUUCGGGAGGCAGCAGUAGGGGAUUCUCGGCAAAGGACGAAAGUCUGACCGGGCCACGCCGCGGUAGUGAAGAAGGUUCUCGGAUCGGUAAACUCUGUUGGUAGAGAAGAAAGUUGGUGGGAGGUGACAGCUCAUAAAGUGACGGUAACUACCCAGAAAGGGACGGCUAACUACGUG